AGUCGCGUAUAGCAAGGUCGAAAGAUAGCGUACGAGGAAAGUCCGGGCUCCAUAGAGCAAUGAUGCUGGAUAACGUCCAGUGAGGGCAACCUUAAGGAAAGUGCAACAGAAAAUAACCGCCACUUAGAAGUUAGGUAUUAGAAAUUAAAUAAAAGUUAAUAUAUAAAAUUUAAUUUUUAAUAUCUAAUUUCUAACUGGUAAGGGUGAAAAGGUGAGGUAAGAGCUUACCGCUAAUAUGGUGACAUAUUAGGUCAAUGCAAACCCCAUCUGGAGCAACACCGAGUAAAGAAGGUUAAUGGCUGCUCGUCAGUCUUCUUGUAUUGGUGGCAAGAGACAUAUAGCAAUAUAUGUACUAGAUAGAUGACUAUUCACGACAGAACCCGGCUUACAGAUUUACUUCU
RNAcentral lists this RNase P RNA (401 nucleotides) under chicken gut metagenome. RNAcentral describes it as "Bacterial RNase P class A". It matches the Rfam family "Bacterial RNase P class A". Rfam says of the family: Ribonuclease P (RNase P) is a ubiquitous endoribonuclease, found in archaea, bacteria and eukarya as well as chloroplasts and mitochondria. Its best characterised activity is the generation of mature 5'-ends of tRNAs by cleaving the 5'-leader elements of precursor-tRNAs. Cellular RNase Ps are ribonucleoproteins. The record is from RNAcentral.